RNAcentral lists this ribosomal RNA (476 nucleotides) under uncultured bacterium. RNAcentral's name for it is "partial 16S ribosomal RNA". It matches the Rfam family "Bacterial small subunit ribosomal RNA", at positions 355 to 824 of the family's 1533-position model. The record is from RNAcentral.
UGGGGAAUAUUGCACAAUGGGCGCAAGCCUGAUGCAGCCAUGCCGCGUGUGUGAAGAAGGCCUUCGGGUUGUAAAGCACUUUCAGCGAGGAGGAAGGUGGUGAACUUAAUACGUUCAUCAAUUGACGUUACUCGCAGAAGAAGCACCGGCUAACUCCGUGCCAGCAGCCGCGGUAAUACGGAGGGUGCAAGCGUUAAUCGGAAUUACUGGGCGUAAAGCGCACGCAGGCGGUUUGUUAAGUCAGAUGUGAAAUCCCCGGGCUCAACCUGGGAACUGCAUUUGAAACUGGCAAGCUAGAGUCUCGUAGAGGGGGGUAGAAUUCCAGGUGUAGCGGUGAAAUGCGUAGAGAUCUGGAGGAAUACCGGUGGCGAAGGCGGCCCCCUGGACGAAGACUGACGCUCAGGUGCGAAAGCGUGGGGAGCAAACAGAUUAGAUACCCUGGUAGUCCACGCUGUAAACGAUGUCGAUUUUGGAGG